GAUGAACGUUGGCGGCGUGCUUAACACAUGCAAGUCGAACGCUAAUAGCAAUAUUGGAGUGGCGCACGGGUGAGUAACACGUAGCUUACCUACCUUCGAGAGUGGGAUAACGUUCCGAAAGGAAUGCUAAUACCACAUAAGCUCCCGACCUGUAGAGGGUUGAGAGAAAAGGGGAAACCCGCUUGAAGAUGGGGCUGCGGCCCAUCAGCUAGUUGGGGGCCGUAAAAGCGCACCAAGGCGACGACGGGUAGGGGGGCCUGAGAGGGCGAUCCCCCCACACUGGGACUGAGACACGGCCCAGACUCCUACGGGAGGCAGCAGUGAGGAAUAUUGCACAAUGGGCGAAAGCCUGAUGCAGCGACGCCGCGUGGAU
This 373-nucleotide ribosomal RNA is filed under the name uncultured Chloroflexota bacterium. RNAcentral describes it as "bacterial SSU rRNA". It matches the Rfam family "Bacterial small subunit ribosomal RNA", at positions 28 to 406 of the family's 1533-position model. The record is from RNAcentral. Lineage: Bacteria; Bacillati; Chloroflexota.